AUGGCGGAAUCGCGGCCGCAGUUCGAGGCCCUGCUGUGGAGGGGCCGCCGCCCGUCCGCCGCAUGUCGCAGGUCCUGGCACUGCGACAUCCUCCCACUGCCCCCGUGGAUCAUCCACCACAAGCACGCCUUGGUCUACGGUCACGCCCUUGUCGGCGGUGACACCAUCUGCUUCUCCAUCUCCGGCGCAGAGGGCACCGGCACCUACUGCUUCCACACCGCGACUCGCGAGUGGAGCAAGGCUGGCGACUGGAUCAUGCCGUUCAAUGGCAAAGCGGAGUACGUCCCGGAGCUCGGGCUCUGGUUUGGCCUCUCACGCCGCCUCCCCAUCGCUGUCGACCUCUCUGGCGUUGUCAGAGGGGAGGAGCCGCUGCCAGACAAGUUGCGGAUCUGGGAGGAUGAUGACCUGCCAGAGGAGUGCACGUGGCAGCCGAAUGAAUUGUGCGACUCCAAGAUCAUCAGCCUCGGCUCAGGCAGGUUCUUCUUUGCUGGCUUCUUUAAUGACAUGAAAUUCGACAAGGACAGCAGCGAGAUGGUUACUGGCCAGCAAUUUGCCCUCUUUACUGGUAUGGAGGUAGUGUACGGCAAUGGCAAUGGCGUCAACAAAGACAAUUUCAACUGCAAUAGUGGCAACAAUGGCACCAGCAAAGACGAUGGCAACAAUGCCAACAACGGCAGCAAAGGCAAAGGGAUGAUUCGUGGCCUUCGUAUGAUUAAGCACAAGUCCAAACGUUACAUGUUUACGAAGCAGCUGAGCAUCGAGGCGGUGCUCUGA
RNAcentral lists this ribosomal RNA (774 nucleotides) under Triticum aestivum (bread wheat). RNAcentral describes it as "partial small subunit ribosomal RNA". Lineage: Eukaryota; Viridiplantae; Streptophyta; Magnoliopsida; Poales; Poaceae. The record is from RNAcentral.